UGGGGAAUUUUCCGCAAUGGGCGAAAGCCUGACGGAGCAAUGCCGCGUGGAGGUGGAAGGCCUACGGGUCGUCAACUUCUUUUCUCGGAGAAGAAACAAUGACGGUAUCUGGGGAAUAAGCAUCGGCUAACUCUGUGCUAG
This 141-nucleotide ribosomal RNA is filed under the name uncultured bacterium. RNAcentral's name for it is "partial 16S rRNA". It matches the Rfam family "Bacterial small subunit ribosomal RNA", at positions 355 to 511 of the family's 1533-position model. The record is from RNAcentral.